This 433-nucleotide ribosomal RNA is filed under the name uncultured bacterium. Its description in RNAcentral is "partial 16S ribosomal RNA". It matches the Rfam family "Bacterial small subunit ribosomal RNA", at positions 29 to 507 of the family's 1533-position model. The record is from RNAcentral.
AACGAACGCUGGCGGCAUGCCUAACACAUGCAAGUCGAACGAGACCUUCGGGUCUAGUGGCGCACGGGUGCGUAACGCGUGGGAACCUGCCCUUAGGUUCGGCAUAACUCCCCGAAAGGGGUGCUAAUAACGGAUAAUGUCUUCGGACCAAAGAUUUAUCGCCUUUGGAUGGGCCCGCGUUGGAUUAGCUAGUUGGUAGGGUAAAAGCCUACAACGGCGACGAUCCAUAGCUGGUCUGAGAGGAGGAUCAGCCACACUGGGACUGAGACACGGCCCAGACUCCUACGGGAGGCAGCAGUGGGGAAUAUUGGACAAUGGGCGAGAGGCUGAUCCAGCAAGGCCGCGUGAGUGAUGAAGGCGUUAGGGUUGUAAAGCUCUUUUACCCGGGAUGAUAAUGACAGUACCGGGAGAAUAAGCUCCGGCUAACUACGUG